UCGGGAAUUUUGCUCAAUGGGCGCAAGCCUGAAGCAGCAACGCCGCGUGCGGGAUGAAGGCCUUCGGGUUGUAAACCGCUUUUACCAGGGACGAUAAUGACGGUACCUGAUGAAUAAGUCACGGCUAACUACGUGCCAGCAGCCGCGGUAAUACGUAGGUGACCAGCGUUGUCCGGAUUUACUGGGCGUAAAGAGCGCGCAGGCGGUCGUUCAAGUCGAGUGUGAAAGCCCCCGGCUCAACUGGGGAGGGUCACUCGAUACUGAUCGACUUGAAGGCAGGAGAGGGAAGCGGAAUUCCCGGUGUAGUGGUGAAAUGCGUAGAUAUCGGGAGGAACACCAGUGGCGAAGGCGGCUUCCUGGCCUGUUCUUGACGCUGAGGCGCGAAAGCUAGGGGAGCAAACG
Molecule: ribosomal RNA, 402 nt
Filed under: uncultured bacterium
Lineage: Bacteria
Description: bacterial SSU rRNA
Rfam family: Bacterial small subunit ribosomal RNA
Source: RNAcentral